RNAcentral lists this long non-coding RNA (2902 nucleotides) under Glycine max (soybean). RNAcentral's name for it is "long non-coding RNA (GMAX_LNC002711)". Lineage: Eukaryota; Viridiplantae; Streptophyta; Magnoliopsida; Fabales; Fabaceae. The record is from RNAcentral.
AAAGUAAAAGACUAAAAAAACCAAAAAGAAUAAAGAUAAAGAUGAUUCUAAGCAUCGGGGACAAAAAGGAGUUCCCUCUAUCACUCUUCUUGAGUACACGGUCACUUGUGAGGUUGAGAUUUAUUUUUCUAUCCUUCAAAAUAUCAAAUCCAUUACAUACCUUAAAUAUAGGAUAAACCUAACUUAUCACAAUAAUUUUGACUAUGUUAUUGGUGAUCAUUGUCUUCUGAGUAAACGAGUUUUUCUCGGUGCUAGUAAAGGCCAACCCGACUUUACUUAUGUGUGUGAAGAUAUGUUCAAGGAUUUGGACAUAUCUUUACUUUUUAUUUAUUUUGAGUGUGAGGUUUUAACCAAGAUGAAUGUUACUCCUACUCUACUCCAUCCAAAUAGUUGGACCUUUACAAAGGCAUUUUUAACUCUUUGCUAUUAUUUUAAUAUCACUUCCAUUGUCAACAAAUUUUUGUACUUUUAUUGGGUUUAGGCAAGUCAGGGAAGGUUGGGUGGGUUUCCAUGACAGGUGCACAUGGGUCUUUGUUCACCUUGUUCAACUCCUCUAAGAAGAAAUUCAAGACUCGUUUUCAUAAGAUUAAAUUGAACCCAAUUUAUCCCGACCGCACAAGUCUUUUCAAUAAAUUUGAUGGAGAAACUAGGAGAUUUCCCUUUUAUUGGCAAGAAUUCUGUAAAGGUUUAAAUCUUAGGAAAGGCUAUUACUAUCUCCCAAGGAUAGGUGAGAUAUUAACAUAAUUAUGGAGUUUCCAAGGAGAAUGAAUAUCAAGGUAGUCCUUAACUUGCCUUAUAGUGGCGAUGUUGAAAAAGCUUUAGAGGGUAAGCUUUUAUUAAGUUUUGAAUAUUGGUGUAGAUUAGAGUUGUUACUAACUUAUUUUUUUUAAAAAAAUCUUUUUGCAAUGCACAGGAAUCAUGAAAGGUUUCAAUUUCAAGAUGAUUCAGGCUUCUGGAAUCUUAGAAUCCCAACAUACCACCAACACUUGUUGACCUAGUGAAGCCUAAGAAGAGGAAGACAAUUGCUAUUGAGGUCGAUCAACCAAGUGACAAAAUCAAACAACAGUCUAAAACUGCCAAGGUCGUAGUGAUGGAUAAGUGAUGUUCUCUAGAAAAAGAGAAAGGUAGAAAACAACAAGAGGUUUGCAAGAAGAAGACUUUGAAUGUGGAAGAGCCUACUACUAAAGGUAGGAAUGUUGAUGUGAUCCACCCACAAAACAAUGAGGAGCCGAUCACUAAUGUUGAUGUUAGUAACAAGCACAUGGAGAAGUCAACUACUACAACUCCACCUAAUCCAUAAGGUAGUGAGUUUUUAAUCAUGUUACUUUUGCAUACAUUUACUUUUAUACCUUGCAUGUUUGUUUUUGAAAGUAGAAUCAUGUCCUUAGGUGAAAAAAAUGUUCCUCAAAAUACUUCGUCUGAAAAGCGAAGUGGAGGUAUGUGAUCCAACAUCAUCAAGGCCCUCUACAUAUGGUUGAUCAUGUAACUGUAACUCAUGAUCUUCCUUCGUUAUGGGAUGUCAACAUCAAGGGAUCUGAGUUCAUCAUCACUGAUAGACUACUUACAAAGAUUGACUCUGAGAUGAUGGACUUCAUUGGAGCCGACAACAACUUGGAUUCUAUAUAAGUCUUUCUUUACAGAUCUGUUGUUGCCAUCUAUCAUUGGAGGAACAAAUAUGUUGACAUGGAAACAAAGUUCAUGGCUAGUUUGGAGGAUAAGAGGAAAUUGGUCAAAGCCCUCAAUGAGAAAAACUCAUUUAUGAUUAGAAAGAUUGAGAUCAUUAAGGGUCUUCAAAAUAAAAUUAUUGACCAUGAGAAGAUGGUUUCCAUGAAGGUUGUAGAAAACGAAAAGCUUGUUAAGGAAAUUAAAAGUAUGAACAUGAAUUUCUAUUUUGCAGUUAAGGACUUAGCAGAAACCAAGAACAUUGUCAAGGCCUUAAAUGAUUAACUAACUGCUUAGGAAGAAAAGAAGAAAGCUUUGGAGUUAGAGAGAGAAUAAUAUGCUAAAAGAGAGAGAUUUGGUCGAUCAAUAGACUUCCAAACUACAAACACAACUUGUUGAUCAAAAGAAAGAAACAAAAAAGAUUAGUGUUGAGCAUGUGUUGCAGCUGCAACAAGCAUUCAUGAUAGGUCAUGAAGAUGGCUUCAAAAACGCUCUCCGCCAACUUGGUUUAUUCACCUCUAAUAUAAAUUUAGAGAAAUUCAAUGUAUUGAAAGAUGUAAAGGAUGAGGAGUUAGUGAGAGAGUCUCAAAUGGAAAGUUCUGAGGAGGCUUCUAAUAAUGAGAUGAUUUCUAAAGCAGAUGAUGUUGAGGCGACCUCAAACUUUGUUCUACCUUUAAAUCCUCUAAUGACUUAGUUUUUAUAAGAUAAUCAGGGCUUUCGGUUUUAUGUUGUAAUGAGAUGUUUUAUAUUUCAAAUUAUCUUGUACCAAGAUAUUAGAGUAUGAAAUAUAUUGUAUUAAGUUUAAUGUUUAAUGAGAUCAGUGUUUGACAAAGUUUUUACGUGCUUAAGUUAUGUUUAACUUAAGUGUUAACAAUAAAGUAAUAGAGAGUAAACCCAAUCUUUCUAAAGCAUUUAAGCAAUAACAAAAAAAAGUAUAAAUAUAAGCUGUUAACUCGUUGGCAAGUGUACCAAAUCGUCACAAGUAGUAAAAUUCUCGGAAGUCCGAGUGUCGAAUCCACAUGGACUUUAUUUGUACUUAGAUUAAUACAAACCCAAUUUAAAAGCAAGAGAUAAGAAUUUAAAAUAAAAGAUAAAGAUAAUAGAUAAGAUAAGGUAAAGAAAAGAUAAGAUAUUUAAAGAUAAAAUUAGAAGAUAAAAGAAAAGAUAAGAUAUUUAAAGAUAAAAUUCGAAGAUAAAAGAAAAAGAUAAAAGAUUGAAAGAUCAAAAUAGAAGAUAAAAU